AUACGGAGGAUCCGAGCGUUAUCCGGAUUUAUUGGGUUUAAAGGGUGCGCAGGCGGCCAUUUAGGUCAGCGGUUAAAUCGUGGGGCUCAACCCCAUUCUGCCGUUGAUACUGGGUGGCUUGAUUGCGGUCGAGGUUGGCGGAAUUCGUUGUGUAGCGGUUAAAUGCAUAGAUAUGACGAAGAACACCGAUUGCGUAGGCAGCUGACCAGACCGCAAAUGACGCUCAUGCACGAAAGUGCGGGGAUCGAACAGGAUUAGAUACCCUGGUAGUCCGCACAGUAAACGAUGAAUACUUGUUUUCGGCGAUAUAAUGUCGGAGGCAAAGCGAAAGCGAUAAGUAUUCCACCUGGGGAGUACGCCGGCAACGGUGAAACUCAAAGGAAUUGACGGGG
Molecule: ribosomal RNA, 392 nt
Filed under: uncultured bacterium
Lineage: Bacteria
Description: partial 16S ribosomal RNA
Rfam family: Bacterial small subunit ribosomal RNA
Source: RNAcentral